RNAcentral lists this long non-coding RNA (7838 nucleotides) under Medicago truncatula (barrel medic). Its description in RNAcentral is "long non-coding RNA (MTRU_LNC000329)". Lineage: Eukaryota; Viridiplantae; Streptophyta; Magnoliopsida; Fabales; Fabaceae. The record is from RNAcentral.
AGUCAGUCAUUCACUAUUUUUAGAGUCAUUUUUAAUAAGUUUUUAGUCUAUUUUUAUUAGUUUACUAUUUAAUUUAGAGUCAUUUUAUAUAUUAUAGUUUUUUAUUUAUCGAGUCAAGUAGUGUAUUUUUAUCUAUUAUUAUUGCUCAGUAGCUACAUGAUCAAACAAGAGAGAAAGAUAGCGUGACAUACAAAGGAGGGCUGGAUUGAAAAUAACAAGAACAUGUAUUAUGCAUUAGUAUUGAUGGUGGUAUUGGAUGAAAAAGUGGACCAAGGAAGCAUAUAUCAUGCUAACAUAUAUUUUUGAGUUAUAUACAUUGGCAUCAAAAGAUUAAAACAAGCCACAUAUGUCCCCGUGAGCAUAGCUCAGUUGGCAGGGACAAUGCAUUAUUAUAUAUAGGGGCCGGGGUUCGAACCCCGGACACCCCACUUAUUCACUUUAAAAGUGAAUUUCUAGUCACUAGACUACCUGACUCAAAAAAAAAAGAACAAGCGACAUACAACUUUGAAGGAAACGUGGAAUUAUAAAGUGGGCUUUGACCCAUGUUGUUUGUUGACCCGAGGGUUGGAACUUCAGCUUUGUUAUAAAAAAGGCCAAUUCACGCUUUUGUACAAAAGAAAAAAAAGGAGCAGAUUCACGUUUUGGAGAGCUUCCUUCACGUUUUGGAACGGGUUGAAAGAGAGGCUGCUACGACAUGUACAAGAAGAACAGCGAUUAGAAAGCAAAUUCAGGAGGCAACUACGAAACUCUCGGUUUAUUUUCUUUUCUCUGUUGUUUUAAUUUUAUGAACAUGAGUAGCUAAGGUUUUAGUUUGAUUGAGGCAUGAUGAACCUUUUGUAAUAUAUGAAUCAGUAGUUGAUACUCUCUUUAUUAUUAAUGUUAUUCAGCCUUUAUUCAGAAUUACUUGUGUUCAUUGCUUUUCAUAUAAUUGCUUGUAUGACUAUCAACCCUAGCUUCGUGCAAUUACAUGAAUUGAUAUUAGGAAUUGAAUGACUAUUAACCCUAGCUUUUAAUUCUGAAAUAGUAAUCCUGUUUGAUUCAACAUAGGAACCUAGAGAUAGGAAAUUGAGGAUCAUGACUCAUGAAUUAACGUACUUUUAUCGCUUCCGCAGUUAUUCAAUCGGUUUAAGAGAUUAAAAGAUUAUAACUUAGGAAAGGGUUUUGAGUCAAGAGAUUGAUCAAAACUACUUAAUUAAUUUGUCGUAAAGAUUGAAUAGUAAUUAGUAAUAAAGGGAGGUAAACUACUCAUAUAAAGCAAUAGCGGAUUCAUCGGCAUAAUCAUCCUUCUCGAAUCAUCUUUCAACAACUUUUAUUUACUUUUUAUGCACACAAACCUACUACCUCAGGCACUUACAAAAUUUACACAUCCUAGAUAUUAACUUUAUUGCUAAGUUGAGAUUAACACAGUCCUCGUGGAUACGAACUUAUUAUUUUUAUUACUUCGAUAGUUUUAGUACGCUUGCUAAAAUAUCUAUCAAGUUUUUGGCGCCGCUGCCGGGGACUGUUGAAUCAUUUCAACUUGGCAAUUUUGUUUUUGUUUAGGAUUUCUGUCAUUUAUAUAUAUAUUUUUUUUUUGUAUAUAUAUAUAUAUUGAAAAAAAAAAUUAUUUAUGCUCUUCGUUUUCUUCUCAUUGUACGGUUCUACUAAAAAGUUUAUCCAAGUUUUGCAGCUAUGAUAGACAGGUUACACCUCUAUGAGACAAAAGAGAUUUGGUCAUUGCAGUAUGAAAAAUAUAUGAUAUCUUUGAAGAUAAAAUGUUUGGACAGUAAAAUCUCUCUAUUAAAUGAGAGGUGUGACAAUUAUGAGGUGGAUCAACCAAGUAGUAAUUCUGAAGAGAAGAAAGAGGUGAUCAACAUCGAUUACAAUACUCAACUUCAAAAUAUUUUAGAUGAUUUCUUGGUGUCAAAUCAAGUUUCAGUUGAGAAGUUUGAAGUUCAGUGUGGUGAUCUUGUUGCAAAAGCACAUGAGUCUUAGAGGAAGCUGGUUCAGAUGGAGACUGAGUGUCACGAGGUUGUGGUGGAAGAAAAUUCCAAAGUGAGGAGUGUUGAUAUUUUCCCAAAGUCUGAACCAACGGGGGUUAAGGAAAUCACUCGUGUGCAGAUGGAUGCAUGUCCUUCUCUAAGGUGGGAGAUCUUAAAUUCCAAAGGUUUAACAGUGGGUGCAUGGGAGUAUCUGAUUCUUUAUGUCAAAUUGAUGGAAUUCCUACCAAACAAGAGGAAGAAGAAGGAUGAUAUAUUCUUUCUAUCAUUUUUUCCACCCUAACAGUGGUUGAAGCGUCAAGAUCAAUGACGUAAAAAAAAGCGCUUGGUGGGAGGCAACCCAUCCUUUUUUUUUUAAUGUUUUUUAUUUUGCAGGUAUUUUUUUUUCAGUUAAAAAAAAAAAGCAAACAAAAAAAAAAGUGAAAAGAUGGACCCAAAAAAAAAAGGAGAAAAAAAAAUCAGAGUCCACAUCAGUUCUUAUUUUUUAUUAUUUUCAAUAACUUAUCUUUAUCAGAUGUCAGUUGUGUCAUUUCUCAGUUUGAUUAACUUUAAUUAUUUGCUUGUUUAUAAUUAAUGAAUUUUCUUGUUUCUUGAAAUUUUCCAGUUUGAUAACAGUUUGUUUCACCAAUGAUAACAUCAAAGUUUAAAAGGGGGAGUGACUUGUGUUUCAAAGGCGAAAUGUACGGCAAUUAAAGAUAGGUAGUCACAACUCACAAAAAUCUAAUACUGUAAGGUUCAUGACCAAAUUUUAUUUUUCAAUUUACUUAUAUAGAGUGUUCCGUGCAACUACAUUUCUAGAACUUGCAUUGUUUCUUUACUGUUGAUUGAUCUAUGUCAUUUACACAUUGAGGCAAAGUGCUUGGUCCUGUGAGCCUUUGAAGCCUACCCUGAUUAUGAUUUGAAAUUUAUCCUUUUUGAAAGCCAAAUUGAGCCGGUAGGUUUAGAUCUUUUUGUUCGGUGAUAAACUACAUUACAAACUUAGAGACUUUUAGAAUUUGUCCGAAUCUGAGUUAGGCAUUGUAGAAUGUUGUUAAAAAAUAAGUUUGGGGUUGCUAUAGGAAUUUGCAACCAACUAAGUUUGGGGUGGUGGUACUAGAGAACAAAGAACAAAUCAUGAAAAAUACACACAAAAAUGGUGUAUUAAAAAAAAAAAAAGAAUGAAAAACAAAGGGACAAACAUUGAAAAAUCUGAGUAAUUCCAAACUCGAUUGUCCCAAUAAGUUACAAAUAAUCUCUAGUACCCUUGCAAGAAUUGUUGUUCCAAAAGGUGAAUGAAUGAUGGAUUGAAUUUUGUGCUUAACUUCCGUAUGAAUGCCUAACUCAAAUUUUGUGUAGCCUACUUAUCCAAAUAUUAUUCCACCUUCACCUAAGCCCCGUUAUAAUCCUUUAAGACCUCAAAGUGUGUAAUGACAUUGAUUUUGAUUGACGUUUAGAAACUUUUCAAGCGUAUGAUAAUAUGUAGACCUGCAUGUUGAUUGUGUGUGAACCUUUAUCAAAUUGUUGAGGGGAGUUGUGAUUGGUGGAUGCAAGCAAGUCAAACUAGCUCAACAUAUGGCUAUUAGGGAGAUGAACUUUGAGGAUAUCAUUGGUUGGUGAGCUGUUAUUUUACUGUCAUUUUUCAUUCAACAAGUUUGUUCCUUGAGGACAAGUAACAGUUUAUGUUUGGGGUUGUGAUGGCAGUCAGUCAUUCACUAUUUUUAGAGUCAUUUUUAAUAAGUUUUUAGUCUAUUUUUAUUAGUUUACUAUUUAAUUUAGAGUCAUUUUAUAUAGGCUUAAUUGCACUUUUGUUUAUCGAGUCAAGUAUAUUUUUAUCUAUUAUUAUUGCUCAGUAGCUACAUGAUCAAACAAGAGAGAAAGAUAGCGUGACAUACAAAGGAAGGCUGGAUUGAAAAUAACAAGAACAUGUAUUAUGCAUUAGUAUUGAUGGUGGUAUUGGAUGAAAAAGUGGACCAAGGAAGCAUAUAUCAUGCUGACAUAUAUUUUUGAGUUAUAUACAUCGGCAUCAAAAGAUUAAAACAAGUCACAUAUAAACAUUUAAGGAAACGUGGAAUUAUAAAGUGGGCUUUGACCCAUGUUGUUGGUUGACCCGAGGGUUGGAACUUCAGCUUUGUUAUAAAAAAGGCCAAUUCACGCUUUGGUACAAAAGAAAAAAAGGAGCAGAUUCACGUUUUGGAGAGCUUCCUUCACGUUUUGGAACGGAUUGAAAGAGAGGCUGCUACGGCAUGUACAAGAAGAACAGCGAUUAGAAAGCAAAUUUUGGAGGCAACAACGAAACUCUCGGUUUAUUUUCUUUUCUCUGUUGUUUUAAUUUUAUGAAUAUGAGUAGCUAAGGUUUUAGUUUGAUUGAGCCAUGAUGAACCUUUUGUAAUAUAUGAAUCAGUAGUUGAUACUCUCUUUAUUAUUAAUGUUAUUCAGUCUUUAUUCAGAAUUACGUGUGUUCAUUGCUUUUCAUAUAAUUGUUUGUAUGACUAUUAACCCUAGCUUCGUGCAAUUACAUGAAUUGAUAUUAGGAAUUGAAUGACUAUUAACCCUAGCUUUUAAUCCUGAAAUAGUAAUCCUGUUUGAUUCAACAUAGGAACCUAGAGAUAGGAAAUUGAGGAUCAUGACUCAUGAAUUAACGUACUUUUAUCGCUUCCGCAGUUAUUCAAUCGGUUUAAGAGAUUAAAAGAUUAUAACUUAGGAAAGGGUUUUGAGUCAAGAGAUUGAUCAAAACUACUUAGUUAAUUUGUCGUAAAUAUUGAAUAGUAAUUAGUAAUAAAGGGAGGUAAACUACUCAUAUAAAGCAAUAGCGGAUUCAUCGGCAUAAUCAUCCUUCUCGAAUCAUCUUUCAACAACUUUUAUUUACUUUUUAUGCACACAAACCUACUGCCUCAGGCACUUACAAAAUUUACACAUCCUAGAUAUUAACUUUAUUGCUAAGUUGAGAUUAACACAGUCCUCGUGGAUACGAACUUAUUAUUUUUAUUACUUCGAUAGUUUUAGUACGCUUGCUAAAAUAUCUAUCAAGUUUUUGGCGCCGCUGCCGGGGACUGUUGAAUCAUUUCAACUUAGCAAUUUUGUUUUUGUUUAGGAUUUCUGUCAUUUAUAUAUAUUUUUUUUUUUUGUAUAUAUAUAUAUAUUGAAAAAAAAAAUUAUUUAUGCUCUUCGUUUUCUUCUCAUUGUACGGUUCUACUAAAAAGUUUAUCAAAGUUUUGCAGCUAUGAUAGACAGGUUACACCUCUAUGAGACAAAAGAGAUUUGGUCAUUGCAGUAUGAAAAAUAUAUGAUAUCUUUGAAGAUAAAAUGUUUGGACAGUAAAAUCUCUCUAUUAAAUGAGAGGUGUGACAAUUAUGAGGUGGAUCAACCAAGUAGUAAUUCUGAAGAGAAGAAAGAGGUGAUCAACAUCGAUUACAAUACUCAACUUCAAAAUAUUUUAGAUGAUUUCUUGGUGUCAAAUCAAGUUUCAGUUGAGAAGUUUGAAGUUCAGUGUGGUGAUCUUGUUGCAAAAGCACAUGAGUCUUAGAGGAAGCUGGUUCAGAUGGAGACUGAGUGUCACGAGGUUGUGGUGGAAGAAAAUUCCAAAGUGAGGAGUGUUGAUAUUUUCCCAAAGUCUGAACCAACGGGGGUUAAGGAAAUCACUCGUGUGCAGAUGGAUGCAUGUCCUUCUCUAAGGUGGGAGAUCUUAAAUUCCAAAGGUUUAACAGUGGGUGCAUGGGAGUAUCUGAUUCUUUAUGUCAAAUUGAUGGAAUUCCUACCAAACAAGAGGAAGAAGAAGGAUGAUAUAUUCUUUCUAUCAUUUUUGCCACCCUAACAGUGGUUGAAGCGUCAAGAUCAAUGACGUAAAAAAAAGUGCUUGGUGGGAGGCAACCCAUCCUUUUUUUUUUAAUGUUUUUUAUUUUGCAGGUAUUUUUUUUUCAGUUAAAAAAAAAAAGCAAACAAAAAAAAAAGUGAAAAGAUGGACCCAAAAAAAAAAAGGAGAAAAAAAAAAUCAGAGUCCACAUCAGUUCUUAUUUUUUAUUAUUUUCAAUAACUUAUCUUUAUCAGAUGUCAGUUGUGUCAUUUCUCAGUUUGAUUAACUUUAAUUAUUUGCUUGUUUAUAAUUAAUGAAUUUUCUUGUUUCUUGAAAUUUUCCAGUUUGAUAACAGUUUGUUUCACCAAUGAUAACAUCAAAGUUUAAAAGGGGGAGUGACUUGUGUUUCAAAGGCGAAAUGUACGGCAAUUAAAGAUAGGUAGUCACAACUCACAAAAAUCUAAUACUGUAAGGUUCAUGACCAAAUUUUAUUUUUCAAUUUACUUAUAUAGAGUGUUCCGUGCAACUACAUUUCUAGAACUUGCAUUGUUUCUUUACUGUUGAUUGAUCUAUGUCAUUUACACAUUGAGGCAAAGUGCUUGGUCCUGUGAGCCUUUGAAGCCUACCCUGAUUAUGAUUUGAAAUUUAUCCUUUUUGAAAGCCAAAUUGAGCCGGUAGGUUUAGAUCUUUUUGUUCGGUGAUAAACUACAUUACAAACUUAGAGACUUUUAGAAUUUGUCCGAAUCUGAGUUAGGCAUUGUAGAAUGUUGUUAAAAAAUAAGUUUGGGGUUGCUAUAGGAAUUUGCAACCAACUAAGUUUGGGGUGGUGGUACUAGAGAACAAAGAACAAAUCAUGAAAAAUACACACAAAAAUGGUGUAUUAAAAAAAAAAAAAGAAUGAAAAACAAAGGGACAAACAUUGAAAAAUCUGAGUAAUUCCAAACUCGAUUGUCCCAAUAAGUUACAAAUAAUCUCUAGUACCCUUGCAAGAAUUGUUGUUCCAAAAGGUGAAUGAAUGAUGGAUUGAAUUUUGUGCUUAACUUCCGUAUGAAUGCCUAACUCAAAUUUUGUGUAGCCUACUUAUCCAAAUAUUAUUCCACCUUCACCUAAGCCCCGUUAUAAUCCUUUAAGACCUCAAAGUGUGUAAUGACAUUGAUUUUGAUUGACGUUUAGAAACUUUUCAAGCGUAUGAUAAUAUGUAGACCUGCAUGUUGAUUGUGUGUGAACCUUUAUCAAAUUGUUGAGGGGAGUUGUGAUUGGUGGAUGCAAGCAAGUCAAACUAGCUCAACAUAUGGCUAUUAGGGAGAUGAACUUUGAGGAUAUCAUUGGUUGGUGAGCUGUUAUUUUACUGUCAUUUUUCAUUCAACAAGUUUGUUCCUUGAGGACAAGUAACAGUUUAUGUUUGGGGUUGUGAUGGCAGUCAGUCAUUCACUAUUUUUAGAGUCAUUUUUAAUAAGUUUUUAGUCUAUUUUUAUUAGUUUACUAUUUAAUUUAGAGUCAUUUUAUAUAGGCUUAAUUGCACUUUUGUUUAUCGAGUCAAGUAUAUUUUUAUCUAUUAUUAUUGCUCAGUAGCUACAUGAUCAAACAAGAGAGAAAGAUAGCGUGACAUACAAAGGAAGGCUGGAUUGAAAAUAACAAGAACAUGUAUUAUGCAUUAGUAUUGAUGGUGGUAUUGGAUGAAAAAGUGGACCAAGGAAGCAUAUAUCAUGCUGACAUAUAUUUUUGAGUUAUAUACAUCGGCAUCAAAAGAUUAAAACAAGUCACAUAUAAACAUUGAAGGAAACGUGGAAUUAUAAAGUGGGCUUUGACCCAUGUUGUUGGUUGACCCGAGGGUUGGAACUUCAGCUUUGUUAUAAAAAAGGCCAAUUCACGCUUUGGUACAAAAGAAAAAAAGGAGCAGAUUCACGUUUUGGAGAGCUUCCUUCACGUUUUGGAACGGAUUGAAAGAGAGGCUGCUACGGCAUGUACAAGAAGAACAGCGAUUAGAAAGCAAAUUUUGGAGGCAACAACGAAACUCUCGGUUUAUUUUCUUUUCUCUGUUGUUUUAAUUUUAUGAAUAUGAGUAGCUAAGGUUUUAGUUUGAUUGAGCC